Molecule: transfer RNA, 85 nt
Filed under: Felis catus (domestic cat)
Lineage: Eukaryota; Metazoa; Chordata; Mammalia; Carnivora; Felidae
Also listed under: 3 other names
Rfam family: tRNA
About the family: Transfer RNA (tRNA) molecules are approximately 80 nucleotides in length. Their secondary structure includes four short double-helical elements and three loops (D, anti-codon, and T loops).
Source: Rfam by way of RNAcentral
GCCUGGGUGGCUCAGUAGGUUAAGUGUCUGACUUCAGCUCAGGUCAUAAUCUCAGGGUUUGUGAGUUCGAGUCCCACAUCGGGCU